Molecule: ribosomal RNA, 320 nt
Filed under: Bacillus sp. PG2.3
Lineage: Bacteria; Bacillati; Bacillota; Bacilli; Caryophanales; Bacillaceae
Description: bacterial SSU rRNA
Rfam family: Bacterial small subunit ribosomal RNA
Source: RNAcentral
GGGAAUUAAGAGCUUGCUCUUAUGAAGUUAGCGGCGGACGGGUGAGUAACACGUGGGUAACCUGCCCAUAAGACUGGGAUAACUCCGGGAAACCGGGGCUAAUACCGGAUAACAUUUUGAACCGCAUGGUUCGAAAUUGAAAGGCGGCUUCGGCUGUCACUUAUGGAUGGACCCGCGUCGCAUUAGCUAGUUGGUGAGGUAACGGCUCACCAAGGCAACGAUGCGUAGCCGACCUGAGAGGGUGAUCGGCCACACUGGGACUGAGACACGGCCCAGACUCCUACGGGAGGCAGCAGUGGUCAUGCAUUUUUUUCCUGGAA